GAUGAACGCUGGCGGCGUGCCUAAUACAUGCCAGUCGAGCGAACAGACGAGGAGCUUGCUCCUUUGACGUUAGCGGCGGACGGGUGAGUAACACGUAGGUAACCUACCUAUAAGACUGGGAUAACUUCGGGAAACCGGAGCUAAUACCGGAUAAUAUUUCGAACCGCAUGGUUCGAUAGUGAAAGAUGGCUUUGCUAUCACUUAUAGAUGGACCUGCGCCGUAUUAGCUAGUUGGUAAGGUAACGGCUUACCAAGGCAACGAUACGUAGACGACCUGAGAGGGUGAUCGGCCACACUGGAACUGAGACACGGUCCAGACUCCUACGGGAGGCAGCAGUAGGGAAUCUUCCGCAAUGGGCGAAAGCCUGACGGAGCAACGCCGCGUGAGUGAUGAAGGUCUUCGGAUCGUAAAACUCUGUUAUUAGGGAAGAACAAACGUGUAAGUAACUGUGCACGUCUUGACGGUACCUAAUCAGAAAGCCACGGCUAACUACGUG
Molecule: ribosomal RNA, 497 nt
Filed under: uncultured bacterium
Lineage: Bacteria
Description: partial 16S ribosomal RNA
Rfam family: Bacterial small subunit ribosomal RNA
Source: RNAcentral